This 73-nucleotide transfer RNA is filed under the name Entransia fimbriata. RNAcentral describes it as "tRNA-Val". It matches the Rfam family "tRNA". Rfam says of the family: Transfer RNA (tRNA) molecules are approximately 80 nucleotides in length. The record is from RNAcentral. Lineage: Eukaryota; Viridiplantae; Streptophyta; Klebsormidiophyceae; Entransiales; Entransiaceae.
GGGUAAUUAGCUCAGAUGGAAGAGCAUCUCGUUUACACCGAGAGGGUCAGCGGUUCGAGUCCGUUAUUACUUA